This 120-nucleotide ribosomal RNA is filed under the name Erwinia pyrifoliae. The record is from RNAcentral. RNAcentral also lists the same sequence under 1 other name. Lineage: Bacteria; Pseudomonadati; Pseudomonadota; Gammaproteobacteria; Enterobacterales; Erwiniaceae.
UUGCCUGGCGGCUUUAGCGCGGUGGUCCCACCUGACCCCAUGCCGAACUCAGAAGUGAAACGCCGUAGCGCCGAUGGUAGUGUGGGGUCUCCCCAUGCGAGAGUAGGGAACUGCCAGGCA